Molecule: ribosomal RNA, 328 nt
Filed under: uncultured eukaryote
Lineage: Eukaryota
Description: partial 18S ribosomal RNA
Rfam family: Eukaryotic small subunit ribosomal RNA
Source: RNAcentral
CCCUUAGAUGUCCUGGGCCGCACGCGCGCUACACUGAUGCAUGCAACGAGUUUAUAACCUUGGCCUGAAAGGUCUGGGUAAUCUUUUGAACGAGCAUCGUGAUAGGGAUAGAUUAUUGCAAUUGUUAAUCUUGAACGAGGAAUUCCUAGUAAACGUGAGUCAUCAGCUCGCAUUGAUUACGUCCCUGCCCUUUGUACACACCGCCCGUCGCACCUACCGAUUGAAUGGUUCGGUGAAGAUCUCGGACUUCGAUAUUUAUUCUUUAUUGAGUUUAUAUUGUGGGAAGUUAUCUAAACCUCAUCAUUUAGAGGAAGGUGAAGUCGUAACA